AACCAGAGAGAGAGAGAGAGAGAGAGAGAGAGAGAGAAGAACCAACAGCCCGUCUGGAUGCUCUGCUCGUGACGUCAUCACAAGGAGUGGCACAGACAGAGAGGGGGAGGCCUCCGUCAUCUUUAUAUAUCGCGUUACCAAAUAAUGCGGAUGGAUUGUAAAGUCUAUGUGGGCAACCUUGGCAACAAUGCCGCUAAACACGAGCUGGAGUCCGCCUUCACAAAGUACGGGCCGCUGGUGAACGUGUGGGUAGCUCGCAAUCCCCCGGGUUUCGCCUUCGUGGAGUUUGAGGACCCCAGAGACGCAGAGGAUGCUGUGAGGGCGCUGGAUGGCACGAGACUGUGUGGUGUGAGGGUUAGAGUUGAGAUGUCCACAGGGCGGUCACGCAGAGACCGCUACCGCUCCCCACCACGCAGAGGAGGGAGCCGCAGAUCAAGGACUAUCUCGCCCAAAUUACUUCUUGUUCCACCACCACCACCACCACCAUCUACUCCUCCUACUGUUGCUACCACACCACCACCACCAACUCCACCACAACCACCACCACCACCACCACCACAAGUACUUCCACCACCAUCACCACCACCACUCCUAGCAUCAGCAUCAGCCUCUUUGUCCAGUGGACUGCCACUAUUGGGUUGUUGGGGUGGAUGGAGGUUCCUCUGGGCACUCUGUCCACUCCCAACCUGAUCCCACACUGGCACAGCCUUGAUAGCCUGAGUCCGACGCCUACACACAGUCCAGUUGGUGUGCCCCACCAGGGAGCACUCGGGCUGGACUGUGGGGCGCUAACGUAGCCAGUGCUGGAUCUCCUGAUGCUCUGAGGCUUGGCGGAGGUGGUGGUGAGCGGCACGUUGCCUGAUGGCCCUCCUACGGCGCGGCACCUCGUGGCACCCGGGCAGCCCUUAUGCGCUUCACGUGUCCUCUUCUCCCCGCCCGUCUACGUCUACCCUCCGCCCACUGCCCGCCCAUCGCCCGCCCGCAGCCUGCGCACCAUCAGGCCUGCCCCCCCACCCACCAUCUUGGGUCCUUGACCCUCCAACGCUCGCUCCACUUUCUUACAUUCAUCGCGCCUCGUCUCACCAUAACGCCUACCCUGCUGUGACGGUCCCGGAGCCCUAGAAGGUUUGGCCGGUCCCGCUCUCGGUCACCAAGACGCUCCCGGUCCCGCUCCCCCAGGUCUGUUUCAAGGUCCCCAAGGUAUGACGACUACCGCAGGCGAAGUGACUCUCCAGAUUUCAGAAGACGAUCCCGUUCUAGAUCAUAAGG
RNAcentral lists this unclassified non-coding RNA (1269 nucleotides) under Portunus trituberculatus (swimming crab). Its description in RNAcentral is "serine/arginine-rich splicing factor 3-like, transcript variant X4". Lineage: Eukaryota; Metazoa; Arthropoda; Malacostraca; Decapoda; Portunidae. The record is from RNAcentral.